CCCUCACUUGUCCAUCCCCAGCUCCUUCUAGUUUGAUUUUCGCCAUGAAAUGGUAGAAUCCUUCCUUCUCUCUUCAACCGCCGCAUCUGUGUCAGAACGGAACGGCAAUUCCAAAAAGUAGUUAAAUACGUGAGGAAGUCUCCAGAGUUUCUUCAUUGUGGAAUCAGGAAUGUGUUGUUGCUGUUCUGAAAAAUUAGAAUGAAUUCCGCCAAUGUUAGGAUUCAGGGAGAGAGGAUGUACUCUCAUACCCGAAUUGUU
This 258-nucleotide long non-coding RNA is filed under the name Solanum tuberosum (potato). Its description in RNAcentral is "long non-coding RNA (STUB_LNC001033)". Lineage: Eukaryota; Viridiplantae; Streptophyta; Magnoliopsida; Solanales; Solanaceae. The record is from RNAcentral.